GGAGGUUGGCUUAGAAGCAGCCAUCCUUUAAAGAAAGCGUAAUAGCUCACUGGUCGAGUCGGUCUGCGCGGAAGAUGUAACGGGGCUAAACUAUGCACCGAAGCUGCGGAUUCAGAAUUUAUUCUGAGUGGUAGGGGAGCGUUCUGUAAGCCGUUGAAGGUGUGCCGGGAGGCAUGCUGGAGGUAUCAGAAGUGCGAAUGCUGACAUGAGUAACGAUAAUGCGGGUGAAAAACCCGCACGCCGGAAGACCAAGGGUUCCUAUCCCAUGUUAAUCAGGGUAGGGUAAGUCGACCCCUAAGGCGAGGCCGAAAGGCGUAGUCGAUGGGAAACGGAUUAAUAUUUCCGUACUUGGUAUAAUUGCGAUGGGGGGACGGAGAAGGCUAAGCAAGCAUGGCGAUGGUUGUCCAUGUGAAAGUGAGUAGGGCGUUUGUUUAGGUAAAUCCGGACGAACAUUAAACCUGAGACACGAGACGAGUCACUACGGUGAUGAAGUUGCUGAUGCCAUACUUCCAGGAAAAGCCUCUAAGCUUCAGAUUAUACCGAAUCGUACCCCAAACCGACACAGGUGGUCAGGUAGAGAAUACUAAGGCGCUUGAGAGAACUCGGGUGAAGGAACUAGGCAAAAUCGUACCGUAACUUCGGGAGAAGGUACGCUCCUAUCUGUGAUGAGACUUGCUCUCUAAGCGGACGGGAGCCGCAGUGACCAGGUGGCUGGGACUGUUUAUUAAAAACACAGCACUGUGCAAAAUCGCAAGAUGACGUAUACGGUGUGACACCUGCCCGGUGCCGGAAGGUUAAUUGAUGGGGUUAGCGCAAGCGAAGCUCUUGAUCGAAGCCCCGGUAAACGGCGGCCGUAACUAUAACGGUCCUAAGGUAGCGAAAUUCCUUGUCGGGUAAGUUCCGACCUGCACGAAUGGUGUAACCAUGGCCACGCUGUCUCCACCCGAGACUCAGUGAAAUUGAAAUCGCAGUGAAGAUGCUGUGUACCCGCACCUAGACGGAAAGACCCCGUGAACCUUUACUACAGCUUGGCACUGAACAUUGAACCUACAUGUGUAGGAUAGGUGGGAGGCUUCGAAGCACAGUCGCUAGAUUGUGUGGAGCCGUCCUUGAAAUACCACCCUUGUAUGUUUGAUGUUCUAACAUUGGUCCCUUAUCGGGAUUAUGGACAGUGUCUGGUGGGUAGUUUGACUGGGGCGGUCUCCUCCCAAAUAGUAACGGAGGAGCACGAAGGUUAGCUAAUCACGGUCGGACAUCGUGAGGUUAGUGCAAUGGCAUAAGCUAGCUUAACUGCGAGACAGACACGUCGAGCAGGUACGAAAGUAGGUCAUAGUGAUCCGGUGGUUCUGUAUGGAAGGGCCAUCGCUCAACGGAUAAAAGGUACU
RNAcentral lists this ribosomal RNA (1385 nucleotides) under seawater metagenome. Its description in RNAcentral is "bacterial LSU rRNA". It matches the Rfam family "Bacterial large subunit ribosomal RNA", at positions 1096 to 2467 of the family's 2925-position model. The record is from RNAcentral.